AUGGCUGUCGUCAGCUCGUGUCGUGAGAUGUUGGGUUAAGUCCCGCAACGAGCGCAACCCUCGUUCUAUGUUGCCAGCGGGUAAUGCCGGGAACUCAUAGGAGACUGCCGGGGUCAACUCGGAGGAAGGUGGGGAUGACGUCAAGUCCUCAUGCCCCUUAUAUCUUGGGCUGCAAACAUGCUACAAUGGCCGGUACAGAGGGCUGCGAGACCGCAAGGUGGAGCGAAUCUCAAAAAGCCGGUCUCAGUUCGGAUUGGGGUCUGCAACUCGACCCCAUGAAGUCGGAGUCGCUAGUAAUCGCGAAUCAGCAACGUCGCGGUGAAUACGUUCCCGGGCCUUGUACACACCGCCCGUCACGUCACGAAAGUUGGCAACACCCGAAGCCAGUGGCCUAACCCGUAAGGGAGGGAGCUGUCGAAGGUGGGGCCAGCGAUUGGGACGAAGUCGUAACAAGGUAGCCGUACCGGAAGGUGCGGCUGGAUCACCUCCUUUCUAAGGAGCACCUGGCGCGAGUGUCGGCUAGUCCGGCAAACGCGUCCAGAGCCAUAUCUCAGGCGAGUGAUCUGAGGUGGCAGCUCGUUAGUGGAGCACUGGUUAUUCGGUCCGGGUGUCUGCCCGGGUCGGCUAGUACGGCCGCUUUGCGGCACGGAACGUCGGUCCCAGGAGGCGCACAGGCCGAGCACGCUGUUGAGUCCUGAGGGAACGGCCGAAGGUUGGGCACCUCAUCUGGACCAUGUUCCCGCAGCCAGCUGGCUAGCGGGAAUGUGUGUACCGCCCGUACUUUGAGAACUGCACAGUGGACGCGAGCAUCAUCUGUAGUUGCCAAGUUAAUAAGGGCACACGGUGAAUGCCUUGGUACCAGGAGCCGAUGAAGGACGUAGGAGCCUGCGAUAAGCCCCGGGGAGUCGGCAACCAGACUUAGAUCCGGGGAUUUCCGAAUGGGGAAACCCGG
RNAcentral lists this small RNA (952 nucleotides) under uncultured Acidothermus sp. RNAcentral's name for it is "bacterial SSU rRNA". The stretch from base 1 to 492 matches the Rfam family "Bacterial small subunit ribosomal RNA", at positions 1045 to 1533 of the family's 1533-position model. The record is from RNAcentral. Lineage: Bacteria; Bacillati; Actinomycetota; Actinomycetes; Acidothermales; Acidothermaceae.